Non-coding RNA from Cricetulus griseus (Chinese hamster), 1803 nucleotides. The record is from RefSeq and is a predicted model, not a curated record. NCBI's taxonomy places the organism in Eukaryota, Metazoa, Chordata, Mammalia, Rodentia, Cricetidae.
CCCGCCUUCCAUCGGUAGUCCCAGGCUCAAGUCUAAUUAGCAGCUCUACUCUGUUCUUCUCUAAGUUAAAGUUUAAGUCCUUGACCUUGACAACUCCGGCCUGUGAGAGUCCUCUCCGGAAGCUUUCAUUGUGCUACCCGAAUCCCUGCUCCCAUCCCUCAGUGAGUGACUUCAAGGUGGUUGUGCAGAAUCAAGAGAGCCUACUGCAGUCCAAGUGAUGCAUUGGCAAAGAGAAGAUCUGGAGGGAUAACCUGACCACAUAGCGGGAUUCUCGUGGAGAACUGCUAUGUUAGGCUCUGUUAACCCCUAAACUCUUCACUGUCCUUGGACUUCCUCUGUUCAAGUGAAGAAAGCACUUGGGAGACCUGUGACAGAAGACAUAACGCACCUGUACAUGCUGAAGACUGUGUUGCCAUUGUGCAUAAGGAGCCCCAAAUCUACCAGUCAUGACAUCAAAGAAGUUUCCAAUGUUGGUCUCAACACUGCUGAAAAUGAUGCCACUGUUCUGAUUGCUGAAGUGUGUUGCUAGAGAAGCCAUGAAUGCAAUCUAAGGAGAAAGCUGGUGAUCAGUCCAAAUUUGUCUUAAAGAAAAAAGUCCUCGUACAGUGCAAACUGUGUUUCCUUACCCGGAAUGCCAGGAGGGCCUGGAGGCCCAGGGGGCCCUUGGUAACCACGGAAUCCAUAAUCUCCAUGACAACACUUGCUGCAGUCUGGGGGCAGUCCUCCCGUUUGUGGAGACUUAAAAAUGAUGAAAAAUGAAACUUCAGGCUUGGUCACCGUCCUCCCUUUUCCCUAAAGUUUUCCAUAAAACUACUGAGGGACUAAGUAGCCUGCCCUGGUCCACGCCUUCUGUUGCCACCACUCAGAAACCAGUGAUGAGGGAUCAAGAGCUAUAUGCUGGAGAUAUCUCUUAGUUUUAAGUCUGCCAAGACCAAUCACAGACAGGUAUAAAUUAAUAUUAGCUAAGGAAACAAAUCAACUAAUACACUUGGUUGGAAAUGAAGACACUUGGAAAUCAAGCCCCACAGCCAACCCCACCUACUGCACAUCUGAGAAGUAUGUUCCUCAUCUCCUGGGAUGAUUUGCUAAUGUGAAAUACAGCUUCUGUGCCCCAGGAAUCCAGAGCUUUGCCAAUGAUGGGUUUCAUGGAUAGAGAAAGGGGGAAAGAGUUGUGUAAGAACAGAUGGAAAUACUGAGAUGCUUAAAACUGCUAGAAUAAUCACUGCACUGGGACCAGUGUCCCUGAUCAGUUCUAUGGGGCCUUAGAAAGUCACCAUUCCCAGACAUCAGUCUGAGUUGGUCCUUUCCAAGCAAAGAUACUAUUGUGUUUAACUUUCAAUAGUAAUUUUGAAAGACCUUUAACUUUUUAAAUUUUAAACAAAUUUAUUAGAUUUAUUUCUUUCUUGUAAUAUGUAACACACAUGUGACACUCAGAGGACAAACUUGUGGGUUAAGUUCAUCAGGCUUGACAACAAGCGCCUCUACCUGUUGAGCCAGCUCAGGCAAGAGAUAGCCCUGAUACUUCCAUUUCUAAAUGUCUAGUAUCUGAACACAAGGAGGUGGUGUUUCUUAGUUCCCAAGCCAAAAAGCAUGAGUGAUGCAUGUGCAAGCUGUCUGGGGUAACUCAGGGAGCACAGAGCUGCCACCAGGGCAACAGAGUCUUGGUUCUCCUAGUUGGCUGCCUCCCAGGGACCCUCCUAUGAUGUUUCACCACUUGUUCUUUCAUCUGACUUUGUCUUUCAAGGUGGAGUUCAGAGGAACAAUGAUAAUGCAGCAAGGAGUCAAGGAAAGAGGGAGAGAGAG